GACGAACGCUGGCGGCGUGCUUAACACAUGCAAGUCGAACGGAAAGGCCCUGCUUUUGUGGGGUGCUCGAGUGGCGAACGGGUGAGUAACACGUGAGUAACCUGCCCUUGACUUUGGGAUAACUUCAGGAAACUGGGGCUAAUACCGGAUAGGAGCUCCGGCUGAAGGGUGGGGGUGGGAAAGUUUCGGCGGUUGGGGAUGGACUCGCGGCUUAUCAGCUUGUUGGUGGGGUAGUGGCUUACCAAGGCUUUGACGGGUAGCCGGCCUGAGAGGGUGACCGGCCACAUUGGGACUGAGAUACGGCCCAGACUCCUACGGGAGGCAGCAGUGGGGAAUAUUGCACAAUGGGCGGAAGCCUGAUGCAGCAACGCCGCGUGCGGGAUGACGGCCUUCGGGUUGUAAACCGCUUUCGCCUGUGACGAAGCGUGAGUGACGGUAAUGGGUAAAGAAGCACCGGCUAACUACGUG
RNAcentral lists this ribosomal RNA (468 nucleotides) under uncultured bacterium. RNAcentral describes it as "partial 16S ribosomal RNA". It matches the Rfam family "Bacterial small subunit ribosomal RNA", at positions 28 to 507 of the family's 1533-position model. The record is from RNAcentral.